Molecule: ribosomal RNA, 403 nt
Filed under: uncultured Wolinella sp.
Lineage: Bacteria; Pseudomonadati; Campylobacterota; Epsilonproteobacteria; Campylobacterales; Helicobacteraceae
Description: bacterial SSU rRNA
Rfam family: Bacterial small subunit ribosomal RNA
Source: RNAcentral
AAGCCUGAUCCAGCAAUGCCGCGUGCAGGAAGAAGGCCUUCGGGUUGUAAACUGCUUUUGUCAGGGAAGAAAUCUUCUGGGUUAAUACCUCGGGAGGAUGACGGUACCUGAAGAAUAAGCACCGGCUAACUCCGUGCCAGCAGCCGCGGUAAUACGGAGGGUGCAAGCGUUACUCGGAAUCACUGGGCGUAAAGAGCACGUAGGCGGCCUUGCAAGUCAGAUGUGAAAUCCAACGGCUUAACCGUUGAACUGCAUUUGAAACUGCAAGGCUAGAGUAUGGGAGAGGUAGGUGGAAUUCUCGGUGUAGGGGUAAAAUCCGUAGAGAUCGAGAGGAAUACUCAUUGCGAAGGCGACCUGCUGGAACAUUACUGACGCUGAGGUGCGAAAGCGUGGGGAGCAAACA